Molecule: long non-coding RNA, 216 nt
Filed under: Lathyrus oleraceus (garden pea)
Lineage: Eukaryota; Viridiplantae; Streptophyta; Magnoliopsida; Fabales; Fabaceae
Description: Pisum sativum (pea) long non-coding RNA (PSAT_LNC036328)
Source: RNAcentral
GCUCAUGAUGUUGCCUUGAUGAUGAACCAACCAAACAAAGUCAAAGUGUUUGAAGUUUGUGGACUGAUAAAUGAAAAAGUGCAAGAAGAGGUUUUUGAGUGAAUGAAUGAGGUCGGUUAGCCUACUAUGUCAUGUUGGUGUUGUCUAGUGAUGCUUGGCCAUGGCAAGAAAAAUGAGGGAAAGGCAUACUUUUUCUGUGGUGUUUGACAGGAUUUU